This 818-nucleotide ribosomal RNA is filed under the name uncultured Bacteroidota bacterium. RNAcentral describes it as "bacterial SSU rRNA". It matches the Rfam family "Bacterial small subunit ribosomal RNA", at positions 56 to 875 of the family's 1533-position model. The record is from RNAcentral. Lineage: Bacteria; Pseudomonadati; Bacteroidota.
UGCAAGUAGAACGGUAACAGUCCUUCGGGAGCUGACGAGUUGCGAACGGGUGCGUAACGCGUAUGCAACCUACCUAUAACUGAGGGAUAGCCCAUAGAAAUGUGGAUUAAUACCUCAUAACAACUAAAGAUGGCAUCAUCUUAAGUUUAAAACUCCGGUGGUUAUAGAUGGGCAUGCGUGACAUUAGCUAGUUGGUGAGGUAACUGCUCACCAAGGCAACSAUKUCUARGGGUUCUGAGAGGAUGAUCCCCCUCACUGGUACUGAGACACGGACCAGACUCCUACGGGAGGCAGCAGUGAGGAAUAUUGCGCAAUGGAGGAAACUCUGACGCAGCCAUGCCGCGUGCAGGAUGACUGCCCUAUGGGUUGUAAACUGCUUUUAUAUAGGAAGAACUACAGAUACGUGUAUUUGUUUGACAGUACUAUACGAAUAAGGACCGGCUAACUCCGUGCCAGCAGCCGCGGUAAUACGGAGGGUCCAAGCGUUAUCCGGAUUUAUUGGGUUUAAAGGGUCCGUAGGCGGGUCAUUAAGUCAGUGGUGAAAUCCUASAGCUCAACUGUAGAACUGCCAUUGAAACUGGUGACCUUUGAAUAUAAUUGAAGUAGGCGGAAUGUGUCAUGUAGCGGUGAAAUGCUUAGAUAUGCCACAGAACACCGAUUGCGAAGGCAGCUUACUAAGUUAUUAUUGACGCUGAGGGACGAAAGCGUGGGUAGCGAACAGGAUUAGAUACCCUGGUAGUCCACGCCGUAAACGAUGUAUACUCGUUGCUAGCGAUACACAGUUAGUGACCAAGCGAAAGUAUUAAGUAUACCACUGG